This 496-nucleotide ribosomal RNA is filed under the name uncultured bacterium. Its description in RNAcentral is "partial 16S ribosomal RNA". It matches the Rfam family "Bacterial small subunit ribosomal RNA", at positions 28 to 507 of the family's 1533-position model. The record is from RNAcentral.
GACGAACGCUGGCGGCGUGCCUAAUACAUGCAAGUUGAGCGCUGAAGGUUGGUACUUGUACCAACUGGAUGAGCAGCGAACGGGUGAGUAACGCGUGGGGAAUCUGCCUUUGAGCGGGGGACAACAUUUGGAAACGAAUGCUAAUACCGCAUAAAAACUUUAAACACAAGUUUUAAGCUUAAAAAAUCAAUUUCCUCCACCAAAGAUUAUUCCCCGUUGUAUUAGCUAGUUGGGGAGGUAAAGGCCCACCAAGGCGAGGAUACCUAGCCGACCCGAGAGGGUGAUCGGCCACAUUGGGACUGAGACACGGCCCAAACUCCUACGGGAGGCAGCAGUAGGGAAUCUUCGGCAAGAGACGAAAGUCUGACCGAGCAACGCCGCGUGAGUGAAGAAGGUUUUCGGAUCGUAAAACUCUGUUGGUAGAGAAGAACGUUGGUGAGAGUGGAAAGCUCAUCAAGUGACGGUAACUACCCAGAAAGGGACGGCUAACUACGUG